UCCGCUGAAGGGGGGAAAGAGGGAGUCAACUCCAUUGAAUCAACCUCCCUCAUAUGAUCAAAAUACUAGGUCAGACUCACAUGAUCAAAGGGCAAUGGUGAAAGUACACUAUGAAUACCCUAGGAGCACGUGUAGGGAACUACUAAGGGGAAAACAACCUGCAACCAAAAUAAUGCAUAAAUGGCUAGAAGGGGAGCCAUCAUCCAGGUCACACAUCCACCAAGGAGGGACAACUGAUGAUGGUUUUGAAGGGAUCUCAAAAGAGACUCCACCUCAUAAACCAAACACCCUCAGUCCAUAAACUCUUUUUCUCUUCUCUCUCUCUCUCUCUCUCUCUCUCUACACACACACACACACACACAAACCCAGAUAAACAUAACUACAAACAAAAACCAUAGAAAAACAAAAUCUUCCAAGGCGGCACCUCAAGAACAGGAUGACAACGAUGGAGAACAUCGCAGAGGCGUCACCGUCCUCUUACCCAAAACUUCAAAAAAUUAAAACCCCACCUAAAUAACCAAGGUUAAACAAGAAUCUACCAACCGUUUUCAAAAGUAACCAACCAAACUCAUAGAUCGGAGUUCACAUGACACAAAUCCUAACUUGUUCAAAUAACACCAAAUCAACAAUAUCAAAUGGGAAAUCAGCCAUUCACACAAACAUCAUCAAAAAAGGCAAAAAUGACGAGAAGUGUAACAAAAAACGACCUUGUCGGAGACUUAAAAUCCGACGAGAAACUCUGGUGCAAGAAAUAACUCAGGUACGUAAAUUCUUUAUAUCCUCGUUCUUCCUUGUUUCCUGCUCGCCUUGACUCCUUCUUCUACUGUCUUCUGAAUGUUAUGUGUUUAAAUAUUGAUUUUUUUUAUGAAAUAAGGGGUCUUAGCUCAUCCCUAAUCAAACUUCAAUAUGAAGUUUAGAGAGCCUUUCUUAGAGUAUGAGCUUUGAGUGAGGGGUCAGUUUUGAAUUCUGCAGAGUUUUAGUGUUUUUUUUGUUCAUCAAAAUGAGUGAAGGAGAGGCACUGUUUU
This 1025-nucleotide long non-coding RNA is filed under the name Lathyrus oleraceus (garden pea). RNAcentral describes it as "Pisum sativum (pea) long non-coding RNA (PSAT_LNC038432)". The record is from RNAcentral. Lineage: Eukaryota; Viridiplantae; Streptophyta; Magnoliopsida; Fabales; Fabaceae.